This 468-nucleotide ribosomal RNA is filed under the name uncultured bacterium. RNAcentral's name for it is "partial 16S ribosomal RNA". It matches the Rfam family "Bacterial small subunit ribosomal RNA", at positions 28 to 507 of the family's 1533-position model. The record is from RNAcentral.
GACGAACGCUGGCGGCGUGCUUAACACAUGCAAGUCGAACGGAAAGGCCCUGCUUUUGUGGGGUGCUCGAUUGGCGAACGGGUGAGUAACACGUGAGUAACCUGCCCUUGACUUUGGGAUAACUUCAGGAAACUGGGGCUAAUACCGGAUAGGAGCUCCUGCUGCAUGGUGGGGGUUGGAAAGUUUCGGCGGUUGGGGAUGGACUCGCGGCUUAUCAGCUUGUUGGUGGGGUAGUGGCUUACCAAGGCUUUGACGGGUAGCCGGCCUGAGGGGGUGACCGGCCACAUUGGGACUGAGAUGAGGCCCAGACUCCUACGGGAGGGAGCAGUGGGGAAGAUUGCACGAUGGGCGGAAGCCUGAUGCAGCAACGCCGCGUGCGGGAUGACGGCCUUCGGGUUGUAAACCGAUUUCGCCUGUGACGAAGCGUGAGUGACGGUAAUGGGUAAAGAAGCACCGGCUAACUACGUG